Molecule: long non-coding RNA, 200 nt
Organism: Limulus polyphemus (Atlantic horseshoe crab)
Lineage: Eukaryota; Metazoa; Arthropoda; Merostomata; Xiphosura; Limulidae
Exons: 3
Source: RefSeq, a predicted model, not a curated record
UAUUAGUGCCCUUUGUGCAUGGAGCCUUUGGAGAUGGAUGAUGUAAAUUUUUUCCCAUGCACUUGUGGAUAUCAGAUUUGUCGUUUUUGCUGGCACAGAAUCCGAACAGAUGAGAAUGGGUUAUGUCCUGCUUGUCGAAAGCAAUACCCUGAAGACCCCGCAGAUUUUAAACCUCUAACACAUGAAGAGUAAGUUUAAAA